RNAcentral lists this ribosomal RNA (253 nucleotides) under uncultured bacterium. Its description in RNAcentral is "partial 16S ribosomal RNA". It matches the Rfam family "Bacterial small subunit ribosomal RNA", at positions 524 to 776 of the family's 1533-position model. The record is from RNAcentral.
UACGUAGGGUGCGAGCGUUAAUCGGAAUUACUGGGCGUAAAGUGUGCGCAGGCGGCCGCGCAAGUCGAGUGUGAAAGCCCCGAGCUUAACUUGGGAAUUGCGCUCGAAACUACGUGGCUGGAGUGUGGCAGAGGAAGGUGGAAUUCCACGUGUAGCGGUGAAAUGCGUAGAGAUGUGGAGGAACACCAAUGGCGAAGGCAGCCUUCUGGGCCAACACUGACGCUCAUGCACGAAAGCGUGGGGAGCAAGCAGG